CCUACGGGGGACAGCAGUGAGGAAUAUUGGUCAAUGGACGAGAGUCUGAACCAGCCAAGUAGCGUGAAGGAUGACUGCCCUAUGGGUUGUAAACUUCUUUUAUAUGGGAAUAAAACGUUCCACGUGUGGGAUUUUGUAUGUACCAUAUGAAUAAGGAUCGGUUAACUCCGUGCCAGCAGCCACGGUAAUACGGAGGAUCCGAGCGUUAUCCGGAUUUAUUGGGUUUAAAGGGAGCGUAGGUGGAUUGUUAAGUCAGUUGUGAAAGUUUGCGGCUCAACCGUAAAAUUGCAGUUGAAACUGGCAGUCUUGAGUACAGUAGAGGUGGGCGGAAUUCGUGGUGUAGCGGUGAAAUGCUUAGAUAUCACGAAGAACUCCGAUUGCGAAGGCAGUUCACUGGACUGCAACUGACACUGAGGCUCGAAAGUGUGGGUAUCAAACAGGAUUAGAUACCCGGGUAGUC
Molecule: ribosomal RNA, 460 nt
Filed under: uncultured bacterium
Lineage: Bacteria
Description: partial 16S ribosomal RNA
Rfam family: Bacterial small subunit ribosomal RNA
Source: RNAcentral